RNAcentral lists this ribosomal RNA (558 nucleotides) under uncultured bacterium. RNAcentral describes it as "partial 16S ribosomal RNA". It matches the Rfam family "Bacterial small subunit ribosomal RNA", at positions 355 to 902 of the family's 1533-position model. The record is from RNAcentral.
UGGGGAAUUUUGGACAAUGGGCGAAAGCCUGAUCCAGCAAUGCCGCGUGUGUGAAGAAGGCCUUCGGGUUGUAAAGCACUUUUGUCCGGAAAGAAAUCCUUGGCUCUAAUACAGUCGGGGGAUGACGGUACCGGAAGAAUAAGCACCGGCUAACUACGUGCCAGCAGCCGCGGUAAUACGUAGGGUGCAAGCGUUAAUCGGAAUUACUGGGCGUAAAGCGUGCGCAGGCGGUUUGCUAAGACCGAUGUGAAAUCCCCGGGCUCAACCUGGGAACUGCAUUGGUGACUGGCAGGCUAGAGUAUGGCAGAGGGGGGUUAGAAUUCCACGUGUAGCAGUGAAAUGCGUAGAGAUGUGGAGGAAUACCGAUGGCGAAGGCAGCCCCCUGGGCCAAUACUGACGCUCAUGCACGAAAGCGUGGGGAGCAAACAGGAUUAGAUACCCUGGUAGUCCACGCCCUAAAACGAUGUCAACUAGUUGUUGGGGACUUCAUUUUCCUUAGUAACGUAGCUAACGCGUGAAGUUGACCGCCUGGGGAGUACGGUCGCAAGAUUAAAACUC